This is a long non-coding RNA of Hippopotamus amphibius kiboko, 895 nucleotides long. RefSeq lists it as uncharacterized. NCBI's taxonomy places the organism in Eukaryota, Metazoa, Chordata, Mammalia, Artiodactyla, Hippopotamidae. The record is from RefSeq and is a predicted model, not a curated record. The transcript has 5 exons.
AACGGAUGUAAGUGCUGUGAAGAGAGUGAAACAGGAUGUGUUGGAGAGCUAUGGGUUGGCUGCCCUGAGCAGAAUCUGCCUGCCAAUACAGGGGACGCGGGUUCCAUCCCUGGCCUGGGAAGAUCCCACAUGCCUCGAAGCAACUAAGCCCGUGCACCACAACUACUGAGCCUGAGCUCUAGAGCCUGUGAGCCACAACUACUGAGCCCACAUGCCACAACUACUGAAGACCGCGUGCCUAGAGCCCAUGCACUACGACAAGAGAAGCCAAGGCAAUGAGAAGCCCGCACACCUCAACGAAGAGUAGCCCCCACUCACCACAACUAGAGAAAGUCUGCACACAGCAACGAAGACCCAACACUGCCAUUAAGUAGCAAAAAUGGAAGUUUUAUUGAAAAGAUACAUGAGAAUCUCACCGAAUCCAAGGCUGCAUAUGUGAUCGUGCUUUCUGGACGCAGGCAAUGAGUUCGAUAUAUUUGGGUAAAAUGAGAGCUGUCUACUGGCCAGAGAGACUUGAGACCUUGGUUGAGACCUGGAUUGAAAGAGAAGAAAUACGUCCUCACAAAAUUGAUAACUGGAGGAAAUGCAUGCUGCACAGCUGAUACUCAGCCUGGAUGGGUGGAUACCCUCUCCUGUUCAUGCUGGCCUGGAGACCCACCUGAGUGAGCAGGGCACCGGAGUGAUGCAUCAGUUAAUGUUCCUUCAUUCCUGUCACCCUUGAUGCCAGUAUGUUUUAUGAAACAUAGUCAGUUCUGUCAAUUUAAUUAUACAAAUACUUAUUCGUAUUUGUUCAACACCUACUAAUCAGAUGCAAUUCUGAAUUCAAUAAAAAAUAUCCCAUGGAUUUUAGACAUAUCCAGAAUAAUUCAUGGUACAAGCUGUAACAGAGUUCUAU